Molecule: ribosomal RNA, 253 nt
Filed under: uncultured bacterium
Lineage: Bacteria
Description: partial 16S ribosomal RNA
Rfam family: Bacterial small subunit ribosomal RNA
Source: RNAcentral
UACAGAGGGGGCGAGCGUUGUUCGGAAUUACUGGGCGUAAAGGGCGCGUAGGCGGCCCGCUAAGUCGAACGUGAAAUCCCCAGGCUCAACCUGGGAACUGCGUCCGAUACUGGCAGGCUUGAAUCCGGGAGAGGGAUGUGGAAUUCCAGGUGUAGCGGUGAAAUGCGUAGAUAUCUGGAGGAACACCGGUGGCGAAGGCGGCAUCCUGGACCGGUAUUGACGCUGAGACACGAAAGCGUGGGUAGCAAACAGG